This 253-nucleotide ribosomal RNA is filed under the name uncultured bacterium. RNAcentral describes it as "partial 16S ribosomal RNA". It matches the Rfam family "Bacterial small subunit ribosomal RNA", at positions 524 to 776 of the family's 1533-position model. The record is from RNAcentral.
UACGUAGGGUGCGAGCGUUAAUCGGAAUUACUGGGCGUAAAGCGUGCGCAGGCGGCUUUGCAAGACAGAUGUGAAAUCCCCGGGCUCAACCUGGGAACUGCAAUUGUGACUGCAAGGCUAGAGUACGGCAGAGGGGGAUGGAAUUCCGCGUGUAGCAGUGAAAUGCGUAGAUAUGCGGAGGAACACCAAUGGCGAAGGCAAUCCCCUGGGCCUGUACUGACGCUCAUGCACGAAAGCGUGGGGAGCAAACAGG